UACGGAGGGUGCAAGCAUUGAUCGGAAUUACUGGGCGUAAAGGGUGCGUAGGCGGCCGAAAAAGUCAGAUGUGAAAUUCCGGGGCUCAACCCCGGAGCUGCAUUUGAAACUUUUCGGCUAGAGUACAGUUAGGGUAAACGGAAUUCCACGUGUAGCGGUGAAAUGCGUAGAUAUGUGGAAGAACACCGGUGGUGAAGACGGUUUACUGGGCUGAAACUGACGCUGAGGCACGAAAGCUAGGGGAGCAAACAGG
Molecule: ribosomal RNA, 253 nt
Filed under: uncultured bacterium
Lineage: Bacteria
Description: partial 16S ribosomal RNA
Rfam family: Bacterial small subunit ribosomal RNA
Source: RNAcentral